AGUGAACGCUGGCGGUAGGCCUAACACAUGCAAGUCGAACGGCAGCACAGAGGAGCUUGCUCCUUGGGUGGCGAGUGGCGGACGGGUGAGGAAUACAUCGGAAUCUACUCUGUCGUGGGGGAUAACGUAGGGAAACUUACGCUAAUACCGCAUACGACCUACGGGUGAAAGCAGGGGAUCUUCGGACCUUGCGCGAUUGAAUGAGCCGAUGUCGGAUUAGCUAGUUGGCGGGGUAAAGGCCCACCAAGGCGACGAUCCGUAGCUGGUCUGAGAGGAUGAUCAGCCACACUGGAACUGAGACACGGUCCAGACUCCUACGGGAGGCAGCAGUGGGGAAUAUUGGACAAUGGGCGCAAGCCUGAUCCAGCCAUACCGCGUGGGUGAAGAAGGCCUUCGGGUUGUAAAGCCCUUUUGUUGGGAAAGAAAUCCAGCCGGCUAAUACCUGGUUGGGAUGACGGUACCCAAAGAAUAAGCACCGGCUAACUUCGUGCCAGCAGCCGCGGUAAUACGAAGGGUGCAAGCGUUACUCGGAAUUACUGGGCGUAAAGCGUGCGUAGGUGGUUAUUUAAGUCCGUUGUGAAAGCCCUGGGCUCAACCUGGGAACUGCAGUGGAUACUGGAUGACUAGAAUGUGGUAGAGGGUAGCGGAAUUUUGGUGUAGCAGUGAAAUGUGGAAAAAUCAGGGGGAACGUCCUUGGGGAAGGAAGCUACCUGGAGAGAAUUGCGGUGGGGCACGGAGCGUGGGGACCUAACGAGAUGGGAUAAUUUUGAGGGGGAGGGAUUAACAUGGAUAUCUUGCGGGGGGGGCCGUCCCCCCCGGGGUGGUGGGGGAGUUGUGUUCUUUUUACCUCCACAAUAAAAAAAUACCAA
This 869-nucleotide ribosomal RNA is filed under the name uncultured Stenotrophomonas sp. Its description in RNAcentral is "bacterial SSU rRNA". It matches the Rfam family "Bacterial small subunit ribosomal RNA", at positions 28 to 873 of the family's 1533-position model. The record is from RNAcentral. Lineage: Bacteria; Pseudomonadati; Pseudomonadota; Gammaproteobacteria; Lysobacterales; Lysobacteraceae.